AAACUACAGACGUUACACACAUACCUGAACAUUCAUUUUUAUGACAGGGUCUUUUGAAUUUUCAGCUUCAAUAUCAACUAUUCGAAUCCUCAAAAAAGGCCCAGAUCCUGUUUGCGAGAUACUGUUUUCUCCAGUAGUGGAUGAGGCUGCAGACGGAUUCAUCGUGGCUUCAGCUAUCAAGCGAUCUGCUUCAAAAACAGGUGUUUCGUUUAUAUUUCCAUUAACUGAUCCAACAUUCGCGUCUUCUGAAGAAGGUUCAACUGAUAUGGAGCCAGGCAUAUCAGUAUGAAUAGGAACAUCUUGAAAGCCUUUGUCAUCAAGGGUGGAAAAGCCUCCGCUGAAAACGUGAGAAUUCAUUAAAUCAUCUGUGCUGUGUUGAGAUGACAUUGGUCAAGCGAUUGUUGUCUAUCAAACGUGAUAAUAAUUAGAUUUGGAUUCAACAAACACAAAGCAAGAAAGUAGCAGCUAUAACU
This is a non-coding RNA of Schizosaccharomyces pombe (fission yeast), 473 nucleotides long. NCBI's taxonomy places the organism in Eukaryota, Fungi, Ascomycota, Schizosaccharomycetes, Schizosaccharomycetales, Schizosaccharomycetaceae. The record is from the annotation of a GenBank genome assembly.